Molecule: long non-coding RNA, 3475 nt
Filed under: Mus musculus (house mouse)
Lineage: Eukaryota; Metazoa; Chordata; Mammalia; Rodentia; Muridae
Description: long non-coding RNA chr13:43866075-43869550
Source: RNAcentral
AGUCAGCUACCUGUUGUGGUGAAAGUGAAGUCAGGAGUGGGGAAGGGUGGGGAGGGAGAGGGGUGAGGAGGGAGAGGGGUGGAAGGGCUGCUAAACAGUCUCUGUUUCCAAGAGUUAGCAAAACACAGAUGUACUAACCUCCCUUGGGUUACUAGAUGUACUAACACUCCCUUCAUCAGAGUGAGUGGCCUCCUAGUAGAAUAGGUUGGCUAUGCCACGGAACCAUUUUUAGGAGAUGUCCAGCAAUGGGGAGAGAAUUGAAAACCCCACAAGAUUAUUCCCCCAGGAGUGAGCCAGCAUGGAUGCAUUGCCAUAUUCCAGGUAUAUCACCACUCAGGCACAGUUGAACCUACUAGACCUACUGUGGUCUGAAUGUUGUUUCCCAUUCCCUAAUGUAUGUUGAAACCCAAUAUAUAAUGUGAUCAUAUUAGGAGGUGCGGUCUCUGGAGAUGUGAUUCAGUUAUGACUCAGAUACGCCCUUAUAAAGGAGGUGAUUGAAAAGGGUUGUCUUGGCCCCUUCAGUCAUGUGAGGAACACCCACACGUCACCACCUAUUCAGCAAGGAGUGGGCCCUCACCAGGCACCAAAUCUGCUAGCACCUUGGUCUUCAAAUUCUCACCCUCCAGAACAGCGAGUGAGCAAUACAUUCUCUGCUCUUCAAGUUUCCCCGAUUAAGGUGUUUUAUUACAGACAACAGACUGGGACAAAAGGCCUGAGUCACAGACCAGUGAUUGGCAAAACAGAGAAGCUGAAGCAACUGUACAGCAAGCAGGAGCUCACACACGGGAGCCUACCUCUGGGAAUGCCGAGAAGUCAAUGCAAUGGUCACAUCUCAGGUUGUCUGGACACACAGACGGUUCACAAAUCCCGGGAUGGACCAGGAAGGCCAUUCAGUGAGAUUGUGUUGAACUGGGGAGUGGUGACAGUAAACAUUGACAUUAUGGUCCUACAUACAUAUCAUACGUUCCAUUAGUGUCCUACAUAAGUUAUAACCUGCUUACUCCUCCCAGUGCCCUUGAGAGAUCAGCCUGCUAAUUCCCACUCCAGAGUCAGGGAAGCUAAGUGCUGGGGACUCAGGAAACUUGACUGCGUUUAUAGCCAGUGAGUGGCAAAGCUGAUGUUUGAAUCCGUGUUUCGUGUUUCAGAGUCUUGGGAAGCUACGGUUUUUGUCCAUGGUGAGUCCUUGUUCUAUUCUUGACCAAACCUGGCCCAACUUUCAGGCCCUACUCCAUCACGCAGUUUCCUGUCUACAGUGUCCCCUGCUUCACUGUGUUUCAGGGGCUGAGUUGCUACACCACCCUAGAUGGUGGGCUGAGGGGCCUCUUCUGAUGAACUCCCUUCAGAAUGCAUUCCCUUCACAUCUGUUACCUCUUGCGGUGUGGGUCGCUGCUCUGUGGAAGUUGGACAGAACCCUUGGAACCUCCCGUGUGAUUCUGAAGUCUAGUGCAAACUCCAGUCAGUAAACUAAGAGAAACCAUUUUUAGUCAAAGGAAGCAAGGAACACUCCAACCAGCCCAGACUGACUUUCUUCUGUGGUUAAAAAUCUGGAUCUCCAUGUAAUUGCAACUGGGAAGAUCCUGCUGGAAGAUGUGCCAAGGUAGCCCCACAUGUUCCAAAGGGAUCGAAACUCAUUUGGAAGGGUAUGUUCUGAGAGAGAGAGAGAGAGAGAGAGAGAGAGAGAGAGAGAGAGAGAAGAAGAAGAAGAAGAAGAAGAAGAAGAAGAAGAAGAAGAAGAAGAAGAAGAAGAAGAAGAAGAAGAAGGAAGAACAACAAGAACAACAAGGAAGAAGAAGGAGAAGAAGGAGAAGGAGGAGAAGAAGGAGGAGGAGGAGGAGGAGGAAGAAGGAGAAGAGAGAGAAUUUCUUCUACUACUUCUUUAUAUUUAUGUAUUUAUUCUCUUUUGCACUUAGUGUGUAACUUGGUGCCUUACAUAAACCAUGGAAUAAUUAGGCUUUCUUCAGGAUGUAAGGAAAUUCCCUACAUCAGAGGACCUUACUAUCCAAGCUAAGGUAAGAAUGAAGUCCCAGCCGCAAGGGUGAUGGAAGGGAGACGAUGAAGAUAACAUAUGGUGGGAACAUCUCCAGGGAUGAUGGGAGAUACGGCUACAAAUGCUGCAUCCUAGGAGGAUGAAUUCUUUUCCUGUCUGCCAGUGAUCUCAGUUUUGUCAAUCAUUUCCAUGUACCCUCCCACUUCCUACAACUGCACUUAAGCCUUAGAAGAAAUAGGACAGGCAGUCUGGACAACGAGUGACACCAGGGAGUCCCUAGGUGUGUAUUUCCUUGUAUGUCUCUGUAAGUGUGGUCCCCAGCAUCCUAAUGGUUUGAUUUUGGCAGUAACUGGCUUUCUUAGGCACACCACCACUGUCGUUGUGGCAUGCUCACUAAACAUGGACUCCCUGUUCUUUGCUAAUCAAAUCUACCUGUAUACUCAGAAAUGCCACGAGUAGUCUAAGGCAGGCAUUGGCUAUGCCUACCUGUCACCUCUUUGGGAAAAAUAAAGUUUUAUUAGAACACAGGCAUGUGUAUGUUUUCCUAUUGUCUAUGGCUAUGUUCAUGCUGUGAGAGCAGAAUUGAGACUACAUGGAUACAAAAAGUAAACUAUUAAUUAAUUGGUCUUUUACGGAAAACAUUUUUAGAUCUUUGAUCCAGAGCAUCCAUAGACAUUUUAUUUCCCUAUACCAAGUCAGUGUUAGACACGUAAAUACUUUGACCAUGGAAAUAAAAGGUAAAUUUGCUGGAAAUAUCUGAGAAAAAAAUCUUUUUUCUUAAUAAGAAAGGGGAAUGUGAGAAGAGAGCUUACUUUACAUCCUGUCAUGUGAGGACUUGAUGUCUGGAGCUGUGGCAGCCAUAUUAUGAUCAUGAGGGGGAAAAAAAAACCCACACAAACCUGAUUCUCCAAUAAUAUCAUGUAACGAGGCAAAGAAACCCGAGUGAGUGUGAAUUGUAUGUCACGGGCAUGGCCACAUCAAGGACUAGUGUCUCACACUCAUGGGAAUGGCAAAGGCUUCACCUAACUUCUGGGGUGCCAUCCUCAGAGGUAUGGCAGAGCCGGCCCCCUGAUCUGAGUGUGCAUGUUGACAGUGUGUCCAAGUGCAAAUGUUUACAAAUGAUGGCCAUUUCGUCCUCCCAGAUGUUUGUAGCUGGAGCCUACUCACCUACAGAGACCUCCUACAGAGGGGCUCUGCCCUGGCCUUUUGGGAUUCAGAGCUGAGGCGGGACACAGAGUUCGACAAAGCCAGAAGACUGAUAAUCUCAGACCUAACUGUACUGGGAGCUGGGAGCUGGGAGCUGUUGGCUUCAGGAAACUUAACCCUCUCUUGUUUAUUCUAUGGCCGAAAACUGCUGACUUCUUUUCGCUUUAACUCUGUGCUCUGGAGAAACUUAACUCUUUGUGCUUAAAUAAGCACUGGGGGUCACUUAACUCUUUGUUACUAUUCUGUGCUUUAAUAAACGCUGAGCAUUCUUCAACUCUCUUA